CCUACGGGUGGCUGCAGUUAAGAAUCUUGCACAAUGGGCGCAAGCCUGAUGCAGCGACGCCGCGUGAAUGAUGAAGGCCUUCGGGUUGUAAAGUUCAGUAAGCAGGGAAGAAUAAGCAACGGGUAAUAUUCGUUGUGAUGACGGUACCUGCCUAAAGCCCCGGCUAACUACGUGCCAGCAGCCGCGGUAAUACGUAUGGGGCAAGCGUUGUUCGGAAUUAUUGGGCGGCGGGGGCGUAAAGGCGGUGGGUAAGCCACGGGCUCAACCCGUGAACUGCAUCUAAGACUGGUUCUCUUGAGUCCGGGAGAGGAGAGCGGAAUUCCAGGUGUAGCGGUGAAAUGCGUAGAUAUCUGGAAGAACACCAGUGGCGAAGGCGGCUCUCUGGCCUAGGACUGACGCUGAAGCGCGAAAGCGUGGGGAGCGAACAGGAUUAGAUACCCCAUGUAGUC
RNAcentral lists this ribosomal RNA (449 nucleotides) under uncultured bacterium. Its description in RNAcentral is "partial 16S ribosomal RNA". It matches the Rfam family "Bacterial small subunit ribosomal RNA", at positions 338 to 795 of the family's 1533-position model. The record is from RNAcentral.